This 111-nucleotide non-coding RNA is filed under the name Parafannyhessea umbonata. RNAcentral describes it as "Olsenella umbonata TPP sequence". It matches the Rfam family "TPP riboswitch aptamer (THI element)". Rfam says of the family: Vitamin B(1) in its active form thiamin pyrophosphate (TPP) is an essential coenzyme that is synthesised by coupling of pyrimidine and thiazole moieties in bacteria. The previously detected thiamin-regulatory element, thi box was extended, resulting in a new, highly conserved RNA secondary structure, the THI element, which is widely distributed in eubacteria and also occurs in some archaea. Analysis of operon structures identified a large number of new candidate thiamin-regulated genes, mostly transporters, in various prokaryotic organisms. Lineage: Bacteria; Bacillati; Actinomycetota; Coriobacteriia; Coriobacteriales; Atopobiaceae. The record is from RNAcentral.
GCUAAACGACAGGGGAGCUGGCGCACGCCGGCUGAGAAUGGGCCCAACGCGGCCCUGACCCAAUAACCUGAUCCGGGUAAUGCCGGCGUAGGGACCAGAGCACCGCAUGUU